Molecule: unclassified non-coding RNA, 376 nt
Filed under: soil metagenome
Description: partial contains 5.8S ribosomal RNA, internal transcribed spacer 2, and large subunit ribosomal RNA
Rfam family: 5.8S ribosomal RNA (bases 1-120)
Source: RNAcentral
GAUGAAGAACGUAGCGAAAUGCGAUAAGUAAUGUGAAUUGCAGAAUUCAGUGAAUCAUCGAAUCUUUGAACGCAUCUUGCGUUCCUUGGUAUUCUGAGGAGCAUGCCUGUUUGAGUGUCAUUAAAUUCUCAACUACACUGACUUUGAAUUGGUGUGGCUUGGAUUUGGGGGGAAAAUUGUUGUGGGCUUUUUGUAUAGUCUGCUCCCCUGAAAUUGAUUAGCGGUACCUUUGUGGAACUGUCUACAGGUGUGAUAAUUAUCUACAUCUUAGACAUCUGCUGGAAUGCUGCUUUCUAAACCUUACUUGUAUUGACAAUCUUGACCUCAAAUCAGGUAGGACUACCCGCUGAACUUAAGCAUAUCAAUAAGCGGAGGA